Molecule: long non-coding RNA, 501 nt
Filed under: Fukomys damarensis (Damara mole-rat)
Lineage: Eukaryota; Metazoa; Chordata; Mammalia; Rodentia; Bathyergidae
Description: lncRNA (ENSFDAG00000033379.1)
Source: RNAcentral
GGGCCUUCUGGGUGCAUCUGGGAGGCAGCUCGCCUUCAGAAACACGCUACCUUGACAGGGUGAGCAUCACCCGAUGGACGAGGCACCUGAGAGAGAUCAUCGCUCCAGCCCGCUCAGCUCCAGCAUGGUAGAAACGAGGUUUUCACCCAGUGUGACUUUCCCCAGAGUGCCCCUUUGUCACCUCACUGUCCAAGUUGAGUGAGCAGAUGUUGCAGAAGAACUGUGGGGCCAUGAGAUCUGAAGACACAAAUCCUGUGGCCAUCCCAGCCACCUUCCAGCUGGGACCCAGUCUCCAUCCAUACAGUGGACCGGAGGGAGAAAGCAGAUCAUCUCUGCCUGGACAGUCACUGGCUCAGGGAUCCGCCAAGAACAGUCACGUGGUCCGGCCCCAUUGGUCUGUUGAACUGACCAGGAGGAUCCUCAGUGGGGCACCAAAAAGGGUCACAGGACAUUUACUCAGCAACUGAACAGCCAGGAAGACAAGACCAUGGCCAUGUGCCC